UCCCUGGUAGUAUAUCGGUUCAGUACACGCGCCUGUCAUGCGAUUACAUGCCCGGCUAUUCGCGCGAGAGCGGGGUUCGACUCCCCGCCAGGGAG
Non-coding RNA from Piloderma croceum F 1598, 95 nucleotides. Lineage: Eukaryota; Fungi; Basidiomycota; Agaricomycetes; Atheliales; Atheliaceae. The record is from the annotation of a GenBank genome assembly.